Molecule: non-coding RNA, 213 nt
Filed under: Clostridiaceae bacterium
Lineage: Bacteria; Bacillati; Bacillota; Clostridia; Eubacteriales; Clostridiaceae
Description: 6S RNA
Rfam family: 6S / SsrS RNA
About the family: E. coli 6S RNA was the first non coding RNA to be sequenced, but its function was unknown until recently. It consists of 184 nucleotides that fold into an extended hairpin structure with a large single-stranded internal bulge.
Source: RNAcentral
GAAAGCCUGAAAUGAGCGGAUGAACCUAUAAUUUUGAACCUACACCAUGAGAAAGGGAGUCCGCGUUUGGGAAUGGAUGCCAGGCCUCAAUUUAAUACCGACAUCCGGUGCAAAUCGGGUGCAACGGCGGAGGAAGGUUGAAGUUCCCAAUAGGACACCCACCUAGCAGAGGCUAGGUGUCAAAAUAUAGGGGAACGCCAUUUUGGGUUUAUA